Long non-coding RNA from Nerophis ophidion (straightnose pipefish), 317 nucleotides. RefSeq lists it as uncharacterized. The transcript has 4 exons. The record is from RefSeq and is a predicted model, not a curated record. Lineage: Eukaryota; Metazoa; Chordata; Actinopteri; Syngnathiformes; Syngnathidae.
AAUAGCAACUGGCCACCCAUUUGACCGUUUAAAUGUUUACGAUUGUCUGAAACAACUUCCAUACCUCACGAAAACAUAUUUAAACAGAUGGAGAACUAGAGCAGAACACAGUGUAACCGCGAUUUGCAAAAUGAAAGUCGAACAUCGAGUUGAAAUUCACCCACCACCAAGGGAUCUCCUAACAGAGUCUCCAAUCCUUUUGUCCGAUGACGACGAAGUGAAAGACGAAGAACUUUGUUUGAUCGAUCUUACAAAGUUGGAAGAUGAUUAUCGAGAGGAUUCGCCGGAAGAGACCAACGCGAUCCCUUUAACCCAAU